UCCGUUCUCUUUCUUUCGAUAAAUACUCCGAACUUUGACACAAUUUUGGGAAAUGUCAUUACAUCAAAUGCAUUUAGGCAUAUCUAAAGUAAUUGCGCAAGAUAAAAUUGAGGAAAUGUCUUGACCUGAGAAUAAUAGAACGCACGUCCUACUUUGAAAAGGUUCUCCGUCUUAUUACAUUCUUCGAAUUCUCUCCGUCCGUCCGUCGUAUUCUUAUUCUCGCAAGCAACCGUAAAAGAGAUCGUAAGAGCAAGAUUCUCCAGUUCUUCCUCUCGAAGUAAAAAAAAAAAAAAAAAAAA
Non-coding RNA from Nylanderia fulva, 299 nucleotides. The record is from RefSeq and is a predicted model, not a curated record. NCBI's taxonomy places the organism in Eukaryota, Metazoa, Arthropoda, Insecta, Hymenoptera, Formicidae.